Long non-coding RNA from Haliotis rufescens (red abalone), 706 nucleotides. RefSeq lists it as uncharacterized. The record is from RefSeq and is a predicted model, not a curated record. The transcript is spliced from 3 exons. Lineage: Eukaryota; Metazoa; Mollusca; Gastropoda; Lepetellida; Haliotidae.
ACAGUGUGGGGUUGAUUCGAUUGAGGAAAGGACCCAGUGGUAAAUCAGAUAGCCUAAACAGGCCCGAGUCGGUCUGGAUAUGUCCCACCAGUAACUACACGGGAAAAUGUGAGGAGAUGAGAGUUAUCUAAUCCAGUAUAACAUCACUAUGGCAACAGUGACUACAUGGGAUGUUGUAAGAUGAAUUUUCUAUCCCAGUAUUACGUCACCAUAGCAACAGCGAUGACACUGGAUAGUUUGAGGAGAUGAGUUAUCAACCCAGUAUUACAUCACCAUGACAACAGCGAUGACACAGAAUGUCGUGAGAAGUGCUCGUCCACUUGACAUGGAUGUACGCGAUGUCCCGGAUAGAGCCUAACCCGCCAUCCACGAUCAUUGAACACUGCCCUGUGAACAAGAGGCCAACUUAAUGAAAGGGCUGUUCUCGGCCCUGGGAUCAUCCCGGAUUAUCCUGAUGAUGAGGCUCGGACACCAGGUAUCCAACGGGCUUUGUUUCGGCCGGAGAACAAGCUGGGCGAGCGAUGGGGAACGCGUGCAUAGAGAUAAAUGCGCAAUUUGCCGGAAAAGUGAUGGAUGGACACCAAAUUUGUCAUGGAAUUCACGCCAGAAGGACGGGCAUAAUGUUCCAAGGCCUUGUGAGAUGUUAAGUAGUGGUUCAUCCCUCCUCAACAAGGUAGCUAAUUGAUGCGACAAAGGCUUCACUCAU